This 623-nucleotide ribosomal RNA is filed under the name uncultured Methylobacterium sp. RNAcentral describes it as "bacterial SSU rRNA". It matches the Rfam family "Bacterial small subunit ribosomal RNA", at positions 58 to 726 of the family's 1533-position model. The record is from RNAcentral. Lineage: Bacteria; Pseudomonadati; Pseudomonadota; Alphaproteobacteria; Hyphomicrobiales; Methylobacteriaceae.
CAAGUCGAACGGGCACCUUCGGGUGUCAGUGGCAGACGGGUGAGUAACACGUGGGAACGUACCCUUCGGUUCGGAAUAACUCAGGGAAACUUGAGCUAAUACCGGAUACGCCCUUUUGGGGAAAGGUUUACUGCCGAAGGAUCGGCCCGCGUCUGAUUAGCUUGUUGGUGGGGUAACGGCCUACCAAGGCGACGAUCAGUAGCUGGUCUGAGAGGAUGAUCAGCCACACUGGGACUGAGACACGGCCCAGCCUCCUACGGGAGGCAGCAGUGGGGAAUAUUGGACAAUGGGCGCAAGCCUGAUCCAGCCAUGCCGCGUGAGUGAUGAAGGCCUUAGGGUUGUAAAGCUCUUUUGUCCGGGACGAUAAUGACGGUACCGGAAGAAUAAGCCCCGGCUAACUUCGUGCCAGCAGCCGCGGUAAUACAAGGGGGCUAGCGUUGCUCGGAAUCACUGGGCGUAAAGGGCGCGUAGGCGGCCGAUUAAGUCGGGGGUGAAAGCCUGUUGCUCAACCACAGAAUUGCCUUCGAUACUGGUUGGCUUGAGACGGGAAGAGGACAGCGGAACUGCGAGUGUAGAGGUGAAAUUCGUAGAUAUUCGCAAGAACACCAGUGGCGAAGGCGGCU